Anolis carolinensis (green anole) is the source of this 2444-nucleotide long non-coding RNA. RefSeq lists it as uncharacterized. Lineage: Eukaryota; Metazoa; Chordata; Lepidosauria; Squamata; Anolidae. The record is from RefSeq and is a predicted model, not a curated record. The transcript has 2 exons.
CACUUCUCCCGCCCUCUCCGUGUGUGUGGGCAGCGUGUGCGCACCGGCCCUCCCUAUUCACAAACACACACACGCACAGAGAGAGAGCGGAAAGCCACGUGUGCCUUCCUUCCUUCCUCCCGUUUGCUGGGAGCCGUUGCCGCCUCUUUCCGUACGAGAAAGAGGCAAGCUGGCCAAGGUGCCUUGUCGCUUGUGCGUUGGCUCUUGGCCGGCAAGUGAGCAGGGAGGAGGACGGCUGUCCCCACGAGGCUCAGCAGCGCCCCUCGGGAGCAGAUGUGCGGCCGCUUCCCUGUAACCUGCCUCCAAGGAAGGAAAGGAGACACCGCUUGGCACCGACGCGCACUUCAAGGCGCAAUCCACCGGAGAGUUUGGCCAUGGCGCAGGGAAGAAGCCGCAGCUGCUGCGAUCCACUUUCCUCUUCGGUUUAACCAGCUUCAAGGCCAGGAGGAGGAGGAGCUGCCCAACACAAGGAAGCCCCGGGUGCUGAGCUGUGGUGGAUGAACUCAGACUGGUGCAAAAUUGGAAGACAAGGUGAAUCCUCAAAGAUGGCAUCCUACAAACCUUUAGAUAGAAAGUUGGUCCAGCAUGACUUCUCAGCUAGAAUGAGUAAACUGCCAUACCUUCAUCACCAAUUCUGCUCUUUAGAGCGAAAUAAUAUAAGAUUGCAGUCACGGGUGUCUUUGGAUCACCUGUCAAUUUAUGGCAGCCACAUCCAUUUCAUAUGGUUUUCUUUUAGGCAAGGAAUACACAGAGGUAGUUUUGCCAGCUACUUCCUCUGAAAUACAGUCAAUAGUACAGGCAUGGGCAAACUUCGGCCCUCCAGUUGUUUUGGACUUCAACUCCCACAAUUCCUAACAGGUGAUAGGCUGUUAGGAUUUGUGGGAGUUGAAGUCCAAAACAACUGGAGGGCUGAAGUUUACCCAUGCACCUGAUAGCACCUAUAGCACCUGAUAUCUCAUCCAUGUACUAACCAAGGCAGACCCUGUUUAGCUCCCAAGUGAGACAGGAUCUUUAGGGUAUUUAGGCCCUAGAUCAUCAUACCAUCAUACAUACAUUUAAAUACACAUUUAAAUAAGGACAAUAUUUAAAUAAGGUAAUAAGUACCAUUGACACAGUAGGUAUUAUUUCUGAGUAAUAUUUUGCUCAUAACAUGAAAUGGCAUGAUUCAGUGGAAAUGGCAAUAAUGCUUGGAAGGUAGAAGGCAGUAGGCAAAAUGGGGCAAUGGUUGUACUCAAACAAGGAACUCAAAACUCUGAGUCUGCAAGACCUGAGCAGGGCUGUUAAUGGCAGGGUGACUUGGAAGUGUGUCAUUCAUAUUCGAACUCAACUUGACAGCAGUUAACAACAGAAAUGUAUAUUUUUUGUUUUGAUGUCUGCUCCAGUAUUGUAAAAUUAUUUCCUUUGGAUGCCGACAACUAACUUGUAAAUCAAUUUUCAAAAACCAAAGCUGCUGGGUGGAGCACCAGCAGGUGGAGGUUGUUUUUGGGAAACCUUAAUUCUGAUAUACUUACACUUUAAAAACAGUUUUAUGGCAUUUCACUGUCAAUAAACAUGUUUCUUCAAAUGAAACCAAGCAACUUGUAAUCUGAUUCUACUCAAUAUGAUAACAGAUUAUGAAAUAGCUACAAAUACAAAAAUUCCUUCCCUGUCAUUUUUCCACUUCUUUUCAUUUCAUAUCCCUUUACAUUUCGUAUUUAUUGACAUGACACUUAAGUACCACUUGGUAUUUCAGAGGUGUGGCUGUUUGUCUUCCUUGUAAAUUUAUAUAAUUUAGAAUAAGGAUCAGUAUACGCAUGUAAUUUGAAAUCUGCCCCUUAUACAUAGAAACAUGUUUUUGAAGUGUGUAACUGUGGAUCUCCAAAUGUUAGUUGAAUGCAGAUCAUGUCAACUCUAGCCAUUGGUGAGACAUUAUGGAGGUUUCAGUCUCCGCUGGAGCAGUGGGUUAGACCCUUGUACCAGCAGGACUGAUGACUUGAAGGUUGGGUUGCUGACCUGAAGGCUGCAACUUCAAAUCCAACCCUCUAUCCGCUCCAGCUCCAUGCAGGGACAUGAGAGAAGCCUCCCACAAGAAUGGUUAAAACAUCAAAAUAUCUGGGCAUCCCCUGGGUAAUGUCCUUGACGGCCAUUUAUCUCCCACCAGAAGCAACUUGCAAUUUCUCAAGUUGCUCUUGACACUGAAAAAAAGUCCAACAUAAGAAAGGACCAAAGUUGCUCCCCUCUGCUCUAAAUUGAUUCCAGGGUUUGGGGCACAAAUAGUUUCCUCAGAAUUCUUACACCACUCAAGCCCUAGGUAAUAUCCAAAUAUUGCUUUUCCAAUAAGAAAAGUUGCUUCAGAAUAUUUUAUGUGAACACAUUGUUGAGCUAUUUAAAUAAUGAAAGUUGUAGUUGUAAAAUAUAUAGCUUGUUUUUUCUAAUAAAUACAUUUGCGAUGGAACUGUAAGAAA